GUCCAUGGCAGUAGCAAUAAGAGGGAAUAAAGAAAAGGGUACAUCGGAAGUAGUUUCAGCAUCAUGAGGAAGGCCAUCAACAUGUGGAACUGUGAUAGGAAAAAAGGUAAUAAGAUUUGGAUGAAGGUUGAGAUGAAGUAACUUGUUGACUGUGAUAAAGAAAAGGGUACAUCGGAAGUAGUUUCAGCAUCAUGAGGAAGGCCAUCAACAUGUGGAACUGUGAUAGGAAAAAAGGUAAUAAGAUUUGGAUGAAGGUUGAGAUGAAGUAACUUGUUGACUGUGUUUUUAGGAAUGAAGAAAGAGAUUUUGUGUCCCCUUUUGGCUAAUUUGUUGGAGAGGUGAAGAUAUGGAGUUAAAUGCCCCAUAGCAAACCAUGGAAACAUUGCUAUGUGCAAAGAAGAAGGUGAAUCCAUUGUUGCU
RNAcentral lists this long non-coding RNA (420 nucleotides) under Lathyrus oleraceus (garden pea). Its description in RNAcentral is "Pisum sativum (pea) long non-coding RNA (PSAT_LNC022422)". Lineage: Eukaryota; Viridiplantae; Streptophyta; Magnoliopsida; Fabales; Fabaceae. The record is from RNAcentral.